Molecule: non-coding RNA, 46 nt
Filed under: Schistosoma haematobium
Lineage: Eukaryota; Metazoa; Platyhelminthes; Trematoda; Strigeidida; Schistosomatidae
Source: RNAcentral
GCACUGCUGAGGAGUUCCACAAUAGGACGAAACGGCCGUUCAAUGC